CACGGGAUAGAGUAAAUGGUUAACUCAUUAGGUUCAUGUUCUAAAGUUAUAGGUUCAAGUCCUAUUCCCGUAA
This 73-nucleotide transfer RNA is filed under the name Pterocladiella capillacea. RNAcentral's name for it is "tRNA-Met". It matches the Rfam family "tRNA". From Rfam's summary of the family: Transfer RNA (tRNA) molecules are approximately 80 nucleotides in length. Their secondary structure includes four short double-helical elements and three loops (D, anti-codon, and T loops). Further hydrogen bonds mediate the characteristic L-shaped molecular structure. tRNAs have two regions of fundamental functional importance: the anti-codon, which is responsible for specific mRNA codon recognition, and the 3' end, to which the tRNAs corresponding amino acid is attached (by aminoacyl-tRNA synthetases). tRNAs cope with the degeneracy of the genetic code in two manners: having more than one tRNA (with a specific anti-codon) for a particular amino acid; and 'wobble' base-pairing, i.e. permitting non-standard base-pairing at the 3rd anti-codon position. Lineage: Eukaryota; Rhodophyta; Florideophyceae; Gelidiales; Pterocladiaceae. The record is from RNAcentral. RNAcentral also lists the same sequence under 3 other names.